GCUCGCCGGCGAUGGAGGGCCCCCCUCCUCCUCCGCGGAGAGAGAGCGGACAUGCCCCGCGCUGUCAAUCUUCUCUUCGGUUGGGGCUAGCCUCGGGAUUUCGCGUCCUCUGGCGCGCGUGGUGCCCGACGUGCUGCCCCCUGCUUCGUCGUCGGGUACGGUUCUACAGCCGGCGACGUGUUUCCGGUGCCCCUGGGGGCUCCUUCUUAUCCGACGCUGCCUCUCUCCUUGCUUUUCCCCCACCCACUCCCGCCGCGCGCCUCCUCUUCUUGUUCUUCUUCUCUUCCUCUCCAGAUCUCGUCUCGGUUGACCUUGCGAUAGCCAUGGCCUUCGUUCGUGCCGCUGCUGGUUGAGGGAUCUUCAGCACCGAUUGAUUGUUCUUGGAAGGUACUGGCGUCGUCCCGUGCUUUCUACAAGCUGGUGCUGGUGUUGGUGCUGGGUUGGCUUCCUCUGAGGAUUUGUGCGCUCGUGUUCUUCAUACAGUCGAGUUUCAGAAGAGAGGGCUGCCGCAUGCUCACAUCCUCAUCUGGUUAAAAGGAGACAAACGAGAGGUGCAUGUUUGAUGAGGCUAUCACCUCGUCCGGCUUGAAGUGAAUUGCAGUAUCAGCUACCUGUCCAUAAUAUCUAGAUGUUCUCAUGUGCCUUUUAUUCAAGUACUUAUGUUUGUUUAUCACUAUAACUUGCUUGUAUUACCGAACAGUUUACUGUUGUACUGGUUAGUUCUUAUGCAACCUACUAUAUGUAAAUUGCGUUUUCGCUCUGUG
RNA transcript from Lolium rigidum, 764 nucleotides. RefSeq lists it as uncharacterized. The transcript is spliced from 5 exons. Lineage: Eukaryota; Viridiplantae; Streptophyta; Magnoliopsida; Poales; Poaceae. The record is from RefSeq and is a predicted model, not a curated record.